GGUUAAGCGACUAAGCGUACACGGUGGAUGCCCUGGCAGUCAGAGGCGAUGAAGGACGUGCUAAUCUGCGAUAAGCGACGGCGAGGUGAUAUGAACCUUUGACCCGUCGAUGUCCGAAUGGGGAAACCCAGUGCAAUUCGUUGCACUAUCGUUAACUGAAUACAUAGGUUAACGAGGCGAACCGGGGGAACUGAAACAUCUAAGUACCCCGAGGAAAAGAAAUCAACCGAGAUUCCCCCAGUAGCGGCGAGCGAACGGGGAGCAGCCCGGAGUCUGAAUCAGCUUGUGUGUUAGUGGAACGGUCUGGAAAGUCCGACGGUACAGGGUGAUAGUCCCGUACACGAAAAUGCACAGGUUGUGAACUCGAAGAGUAGGGCGGGACACGUGGUAUCCUGUCUGAAUAUGGGGGGACCAUCCUCCAAGGCUAAAUACUCCUGACUGACCGAUAGUGAACCAGUACCGUGAGGGAAAGGCGAAAAGAACCCCGGCGAGGGGAGUGAAAAAGAACCUGAAACCGUGUACGUACAAGCAGUGGGAGC
This 539-nucleotide ribosomal RNA is filed under the name Enterobacter hormaechei subsp. xiangfangensis. RNAcentral describes it as "partial 23S ribosomal RNA". It matches the Rfam family "Bacterial large subunit ribosomal RNA", at positions 1 to 580 of the family's 2925-position model. Lineage: Bacteria; Pseudomonadati; Pseudomonadota; Gammaproteobacteria; Enterobacterales; Enterobacteriaceae. The record is from RNAcentral.